This 253-nucleotide ribosomal RNA is filed under the name uncultured bacterium. RNAcentral's name for it is "partial 16S ribosomal RNA". It matches the Rfam family "Bacterial small subunit ribosomal RNA", at positions 524 to 776 of the family's 1533-position model. The record is from RNAcentral.
UACGUAGGCAGCGAGCGUUGUUCGGAGUUACUGGGCGUAAAGAGCGCGCAGGCGGUCGUACAAGUCGCGUGUGAAAGCCCCCGGCUCAACUGGGGAGGGUCACGCGAUACUGUUCGACUCGAAGGCAGGAGAGGGAAGUGGAAUUCCCGGUGUAGUGGUGAAAUGCGUAGAUAUCGGGAGGAACACCAGUGGCGAAGGCGACUUCCUGGCCUGUUCUUGACGCUGAGGCGCGAAAGCUAGGGUAGCAAACGGG